CCUACGGGCGGCAGCAGUGAGGAAUAUUGGUCAAUGGGCGCGAGCCUGAACCAGCCAAGCCGCGUGAGGGAAGACGGUCCUAUGGAUGGUAAACCUCUUUUGUCGGGGAGCAAAAGACGCCACGCGUGGCGUUACGAGAGUACCCGAAGAAAAAGCAUCGGCUAACUCCGUGCCAGCAGCAGCGGUAAUACGGAGGAUGCGAGCGUUAUCCGGAUUUAUUGGGUUAAAAGGGUGCGCAGGGGGAAGCUCAAGUCGGCGGUAAAAUUGAGUGGCUCACCCUCUUCGAGCCGUUGAAACUGGUUUUCUUGAGUGAGCGAGAGGUAUGCGGAAUGCGUGGUGUAGCGGUGAAAUGCAUAGAUAUCACGCAGAACUCCGAUUGCGAAGGCAGCAUACCGGCGCUCAACUGACGCUCAUGCACGAAAGUGUGGGUAUCGAACAGGAUUAGAUACCCCGGUAGUC
This 459-nucleotide ribosomal RNA is filed under the name uncultured bacterium. RNAcentral describes it as "partial 16S ribosomal RNA". It matches the Rfam family "Bacterial small subunit ribosomal RNA", at positions 338 to 795 of the family's 1533-position model. The record is from RNAcentral.